Molecule: unclassified non-coding RNA, 1611 nt
Filed under: uncultured fungus
Lineage: Eukaryota; Fungi
Description: sequence contains 18S rRNA gene, ITS1, 5.8S rRNA gene, ITS2, 28S rRNA gene
Rfam family: Eukaryotic large subunit ribosomal RNA (bases 633-1611)
Source: RNAcentral
GGAAGGAUCAUUAUUGAAAUAAUCUUGGUUGGGCUGUUUUGCUGGCUUCUUGGAGCAUGUGCACGCCCAGCACAAUUUUAUUAUAAACCCCUCUGUGCACCUUCUGUAGACUCUUGGUUUAUAUUCUUGAAUGUUUUAUUACAUUCAGCUUUGAGGAGUUGCUACUCCCGGUAGCUUUCCUUGUGUGUAAUCCUUGGUCUAUGUUUUUAUAUACCCUAUAUAAAGUAUCAGAAUGUAAUGAUUGGCCUUUUGUGCCUUUAAUCAAAUACAACUUUCAACAACGGAUCUCUUGGCUCUCGCAUCGAUGAAGAACGCAGCGAAAUGCGAUAAGUAAUGUGAAUUGCAGAAUUCAGUGAAUCAUCGAAUCUUUGAACGCACCUUGCGCUCCUUGGUAUUCCGAGGAGCAUGCCUGUUUGAGUGUCAUUAAAUUCUCAAUCCCUUCUGGUUUUAUUGCUAGUAGUGGCAUUGGAUGUGGGAGUUUUGCGGGCUUUAUCUGAAGUCGGCUCUCCUUAAAUUUAUUAGUGAAACCUUUUGUUGACCGUCUCUGGUGUGAUAAUUAUCUAUGCCAUUGAUUCAACCAAGUAAAAAGGGUUAUGCUUCUAACCGUCCUAGGACAAACAUAUUGACACAUUUGACCUCAAAUCAGGUAGGACUACCCGCUGAACUUAAGCAUAUCAAUAAGCGGAGGAAAAGAAACUAACAAGGAUUCCCCUAGUAACUGCGAGUGAAGCGGGAAAAGCUCAAAUUUAAAAUCUGGUAGUCUUUUGGCUGCCCGAGUUGUAAUCUAGAGAAGCAUUAUCCGCGCUGGACCGUGUACAAGUCUCCUGGAAUGGAGCGUCAUAGAGGGUGAGAAUCCCGUCUUUGACACGGACUACCAGGGCUUUGUGAUGUGCUCUCAAAGAGUCGAGUUGUUUGGGAAUGCAGCUCUAAAUGGGUGGUAAAUUCCAUCUAAAGCUAAAUAUUGGCGAGAGACCGAUAGCGAACAAGUACCGUGAGGGAAAGAUGAAAAGAACUUUGGAAAGAGAGUUAAACAGUACGUGAAAUUGUUGAAAGGGAAACGCUUGAAGUCAGUCGCGUCUGUCUGGGAUCAACCUUGCUCUUUUGCUUGGUGUAUUUCUAGCAGACGGGUCAGCAUCAAUUUUGACCGGUAGAAAAAGUCUAGUGGAAUGUGGCAUCUUCGGAUGUGUUAUAGCCAUUGGUCGCAUAUAUCGGUUGGGAUUGAGGAACUCAGCACGCCGCAAGGUUCGGGCCAUUUUGGCUACGUUCGUGCUUAGGAUGCUGGCAUAAUGGCUUUAAUCGACCCGUCUUGAAACACGGACCAAGGAGUCUAACAUGCCUGCAAGUGUUUGGGUGGAAAACCCGAGCGCGUAAUGAAAGUGAAAGUUGAGAUCCCUGUCGUGGGGAGCAUCGACGCCCGGACCUGAGCUUUUGUGACGGAUCCGCGGUAGAGCAUGUAUGUUGGGACCCGAAAGAUGGUGAACUAUGCCUGAAUAGGGUGAAGCCAGAGGAAACUCUGGUGGAGGCUCGUAGCGAUUCUGACGUGCAAAUCGAUCGUCAAAUUUGGGUAUAGGGGCGAAAGACUAAUCGAACCAUCUAGUAGCUGGUUCCUGC